GACGAACGCUGGCGGCGUGCUUAACACAUGCAAGUCGAACGCUGAAGCUCAGCUUGCUGGGUGGAUGAGUGGCGAACAGGUGAGUAACACGUGAGUAACCUGCCCUCUUCUUUGGGAUAACGCCCGGAAACGGGUGCUAAUACUGGAUAUUCACUGAUUCUCGCAUGGGGGUUGGUGGAAAGGUUUUUUCUGGUGGGGGAUGGGCUCGCGGCCUAUCAGCUUGUUGGUGGGGUGAUGGCCUACCAAGGCUUUGACGGGUAGCCGGCCUGAGAGGGUGACCGGUCACAUUGGGACUGAGAUACGGCCCAGACUCCUACGGGAGGCAGCAGUGGGGAAUAUUGCACAAUGGGCGAAAGCCUGAUGCAGCGACGCCGCGUGAGGGAUGGAGGCCUUCGGGUUGUAAACCUCUUUCGCUCAUGGUCAAGCCGCAGCUUUGGGUUGUGGUGAGGGUAGUGGGUAAAGAAGCGCCGGCUAACUACGUG
This 482-nucleotide ribosomal RNA is filed under the name uncultured bacterium. RNAcentral's name for it is "partial 16S ribosomal RNA". It matches the Rfam family "Bacterial small subunit ribosomal RNA", at positions 28 to 507 of the family's 1533-position model. The record is from RNAcentral.